Molecule: ribosomal RNA, 2184 nt
Filed under: marine metagenome
Description: eukaryotic LSU rRNA
Rfam family: Eukaryotic large subunit ribosomal RNA
Source: RNAcentral
ACAAUGGUUAUUUGCAAGGACCCGAAAGAUGGUGAACUAUGCCUGUUCAGAAGGAAUCCAGGUGAAAGCCUGGUGAAAGUUCUUAGCGGUUCUGACGUGCAAAUCGAUCGUCAGAAAUGGGCAUAGGGGCGAAAGACUAAUCGAACCAUCUAGUAGCUGGUUCCACUUGAAGUUUCCCUUAGGAUAGCUGAUCAUAAUUAGAAGAGUUUAAUCCGGUAAAGCGAAUGAUUAGACGGAUUAGAGACAUAAUGUUUUUAACUUAUUCUCAAACUUUAAAUGGGUUAGAUGUCUAUGUUGCUAACUUGAACAUAGCACGCAAGAAUCAUUUGAUCAAGUGGGCCAUUUUUGGUAAGCAGAACUGGCGCUGUGGGAUGAACCAAAAGCUAGUUUAAAGUAUCAAAGUAAUAGCAAAUCAGAUUCCACGAAAGGUGUUAAUUGCUCACGACAGCAGGACGGUGGCCAUGGAAGUCGGAAUCCGCUAAGGAAUGUGUAACAACCCACCUGCCGAAGCAAUUAGCCCUGAAAAUGGAUGACGCUAUAGCUAUUCCAGAACUUAAAACUAGCUUCUAGGCUAAAUUAUCUAGCCUAUAAAGUAAAGUGGUGAUUUAACCGCAGCCAAAGAAAGAUGAGAAUCUUUCACAAGCGGUUAAGUGUACAGAUCUUGGUGGCAGUAGCAAAUAUUCCAAUGGGGUCUUGGAAGGCCGAAGUGGAGAAGGUUUUCGUGUGAACAGUUUUUGACCACGAGUGAGGCGGUCCUAAAUAAGAAAGGAAACUUAUUACAAUUUUAUGAAAGGGAAAUAGGUUUAAAUUCCUAUUCCAUAAGCGCUAGAAUUUACUCUGUAAACCUGGUAACAGGGAUUUUCAUUCGGACACAAAGCUAAACUUUAAAGAGAAUUUUCUCUUCUGAUUAAGCUAUGUAAUCCUUUAAAUAGCAUUGAGCUGAGACAAGGAUCAGCAAUAGCGCAGAGCAACACAGAUCUUGCGUUGUUUAAAGCUUUAGCCUUGUCCUUGAAAACGAAUGAAAAAUGGUUAUCUAGCCUAUGGCCGUACCCAUAUCCGCAGCAGGUCUCCAAGGUGAAAAACCUCUGGCUAAUAGAAUAAUGUAGGUAAGGGAAGUCGGCAAAUAAGCUCUGUAACUUUGGGAGAAGGAAUGGCUCUGAAAGUUGAAGUAUUUGGGCUUAAUAAUGGAAGCCGCUAUAGCAAAAGUUUGUUGAAAGCAUUCGCCUGAAAUGAACCAAGCUCUGGCUGUGAAAAUUAUUUAGCUUUAUGGUUGGAUUAUAUCUAGCCAUUCAAAUCACUGCUUAUCAACUCAUUCAGAACUGGCACAGAUUAGGGGAACCCGACUGUUUAAUUAAAACAAAGCAUUGAGAAAGUCUGAAAAGAUAUUGACUCAAUGUGAUUUCUGCCCAGUGCUCAGAAUGUCAAUUUGAAGAGGUUCAAAUAAGCGCGGGUAAACGGCGGGAGUAACUAUGACUCUCUUAAGGUAGCCAAAUGCCUCGUCAUCUAAUUAGUGACGCGCAUGAAUGGAUUAACGAGAUUCCCACUGUCCCUAUCUACUAUCUAGCGAAACCACAGCCAAGGGAACGGGCUUGGAAGAAUCAGCGGGGAAAGAAGACCCUGUUGAGCUUGACUCUAGUCUGUUGCGCAGGACGACUUGAGAGGUGUAGAAUAAGUGGGAGGGCGACCGCCAGUGAAAUACCACUACUUUCAACGUCGUCCUACUUACCCGGUCGUGCGGAGUGGUGCUUGCACCUCUUCUAGUCUUAAGCCUUCGGGCGAUCCGCGUCGGGGACACACACAGGUGGGGAGUUUGGCUGGGGCGGCACGUCUGUUAAAGAAUAACGCAGGCGCCCGAUUUUGAGCUCAAUGAGAACAGAAAUCUCAUGUGGACCGAAAGGGGAAAAGCUCGGUUGAUUUUGAUUUUCAGUACGAAUACAAACCACGAAAGUGUGGCCUAUCGAUCCUUUAGUCUUUGGGAAUUUCAAGCUAGAGGUGUCAGAAAAGUUACCACAGGGAUAACUGGCUUGUGGCUGCCAAGCGUUCAUAGCGACGUAGCUUUUUGAUCCUUCGAUGUCGGCUCUUCCUAUCACUGCCUCGCAGCGGGGGCCAAAUGCAGGAUUGUUCACCCACCAAUAGGGAACGUGAGCUGGGUUUAGACCGUCGUGAGACAGGUUAGUUUUACCC